This 770-nucleotide unclassified non-coding RNA is filed under the name Hevea brasiliensis (rubber tree). Lineage: Eukaryota; Viridiplantae; Streptophyta; Magnoliopsida; Malpighiales; Euphorbiaceae. The record is from RNAcentral.
UUUACUUAAAAGUAUCGAAAUUAUAAGGAGAUUCAGGGCAGCGCAGUUUGAUCUAGUUAAGGCAGGACAGAAAGCUGAAGGCGAAGUCAUUUCUGUUAAUAUGGUCUUCUUGAAAGCUGGCACCCCUUCACCCUCUGGUUUUGUCAUGAACCUGCAGCCAUCUGAAGCCCAAGCAGGAUUUGACAUCAGAGUACCACCAACUGCAGAUCAGGCAUCCUUGGAGAGGCUAAUAGCUGAUGAAUGGGCACCUGCUUCGCGUAACAUGACUUUUGAGUUCAAACAAAAGGUGAGUGUGAACGACAAGUUAGGAAGGCCAGCUGUUACAGCUGUUGACAGUUCCAAUAUCUGGUGGGCACUGUUUGAAGAAGCUAUCAUCAAAGCUAAUGCCAGACUUGGAAAACCAGAAAUAUUUCCUGCAUCAACAGAUGCACGCUAUUUUCGAGAGCGAGGCCUGCCAGCAAUAGGAUUUUCUCCGAUGGCAAACACUCCCAUUCUUCUUCACGACCACAAUGAGUUCUUGAACAAGGAUGAGUAUCUGAAAGGUAUUGAUGUUUAUGAAUCAAUAAUCAAAACAUAUGCAUCUUAUAUUCAGUAUCAAAGAGAUGAUGCUUCGAGAGAGGAAUUGUGAGCAAGUUGUAUUGAAGCAACCUUGAGCUCGUCUUGUCUUGUAGUAUUGUAUAUAUAAGUGAAGGCCGCAGAGCAGUUGGAAAUCUCUGCAACAUCUUUCUGCUGUACGAAUAAACAACAUGGAUAUUUCAUAAUCAUUGAAG